RNAcentral lists this ribosomal RNA (429 nucleotides) under uncultured archaeon. Its description in RNAcentral is "bacterial SSU rRNA". It matches the Rfam family "Archaeal small subunit ribosomal RNA", at positions 474 to 903 of the family's 1478-position model. The record is from RNAcentral.
UACCUGCAGCUCAAGUGGUGACCACUAUUAUUGGGCCUAAAACGUUCGUAGCCGGUUUAUUAAAUGCUUGGGUAAAUCGUGUAGCUUAACUAUACGAAUUCCGGGUAGACUGAUAGACUUGAGACCGGGAGAAGCUAGAGGUACUCCUGGGGUAGAGGUGAAACUCUGUAAUCCUGGGGGGACCACCAGUGGCGAAGGCGUCUAGCUAGAACGGGUCUGACGGUGAGGAACGAAGCCCUGGGGCGCAAACCGGAUUAGAUACCCGGGUAGUCCAGGGUGUAAACGCUGCUUGCUUGAUGUUAGUUGGGCUCCGAGCCCAAUUAGUGUCGGAGAGAAGUUGUUAAGCAAGCUGCCUGGGAAGUACGAUCGCAAGAUUGAAACUUAAAGGAAUUGGCGGGGGAGCACAGCAACGGGUGGAGCGUGCGGUUU